This 584-nucleotide ribosomal RNA is filed under the name Malassezia globosa. RNAcentral describes it as "eukaryotic LSU rRNA". It matches the Rfam family "Eukaryotic large subunit ribosomal RNA", at positions 66 to 635 of the family's 3401-position model. Lineage: Eukaryota; Fungi; Basidiomycota; Malasseziomycetes; Malasseziales; Malasseziaceae. RNAcentral also lists the same sequence under 2 other names. The record is from RNAcentral.
UAACAAGGAUUCCCCUAGUAACGGCGAGCGAAGCGGGAAGAGCUCAAAUUUGAAAGCUGGCACCUCCGGUGUCCGCGUUGUAAUCUCGAGACGUGUUUUCCGUGCGGCUCUAUGGACAAGUCCCUUGGAAUAGGGCAUCGUAGAGGGUGAGAAUCCCGUACUUGCCAUGGAAGAACCGUGCUUUGCGAUACACGCUCUAAGAGUCGAGUUGUUUGGGAUUGCAGCUCAAAAUGGGUGGUAGACUCCAUCUAAAGCUAAAUAUCGGGGAGAGACCGAUAGCGAACAAGUACCGUGAGGGAAAGAUGAAAAGCACUUUGGAAAGAGAGUUAAAAGUACGUGAAAUUGUCGAAAGGGAAGCACUUGAAGUCAGCCAUGCUGCUUGAGACUCAGCCUGGCCUUUGGGCUUGGUGUAUUUCUCGGUGGCAAGCCAGCAUUGGUUUGGGUCGUCGGAGAAGCGCAUAGGGAAUGUAGCGUCUCCGGACGUGUUAUAGCCUUAUGCAGGAUACGACGACCUGGAUCAAGGAACGCAGUGUGCCCUCUGGGCGGGUCUUCGGACACCUUCACACUUAGGAUGCUGGCGUAAU